CUACACACAUCCUCCUGUGUACUUUAAAUCAUCUCUAGGUUACUUAUAAUACCUGAUACAAUAUAAACGCUAUACAAAUAAUUGUUAUACUAUAUAUUAUGGGCAUUUGAAAAU
Sapajus apella (tufted capuchin) is the source of this 114-nucleotide long non-coding RNA. RefSeq lists it as uncharacterized. Lineage: Eukaryota; Metazoa; Chordata; Mammalia; Primates; Cebidae. The transcript is spliced from 3 exons. The record is from RefSeq and is a predicted model, not a curated record.